GACGAACGCUGGCUGCGUGCUUAACACAUGCAAGUCGAACGCUGAAGCCCCAGCUUGCUGGGGUGGAUGAGUGGCGAACGGGUGAGUAACACGUGAGUAACCUGCCCCUGACUUCGGGAUAAGCCCGGGAAACUGGGUCUAAUACCGGAUACGACUAUCGGACGCAUGUCUGGUGGUGGAAAGUUUUUUCGGUUGGGGAUGGGCUCGCGGCCUAUCAGUUUGUUGGUGUGGUAAUGGCUCACCAAGACGACGACGGGUAGCCGGCCUGAGAGGGCGACCGGCCACACUGGGACUGAGACACGGCCCAGACUCCUACGGGAGGCAGCAGUGGGGAAUAUUGCACAAUGGGGGAAACCCUGAUGCAGCGACGCAGCGUGCGGGAUGACGGCCUUCGGGUUGUAAACCGCUUUCAGCAGGGAAGAAGCCUUCGGGUGACGGUACCUGCAGAAGAAGUACCGGCUAACUACGUG
Molecule: ribosomal RNA, 470 nt
Filed under: uncultured bacterium
Lineage: Bacteria
Description: partial 16S ribosomal RNA
Rfam family: Bacterial small subunit ribosomal RNA
Source: RNAcentral